This 405-nucleotide ribosomal RNA is filed under the name uncultured bacterium. RNAcentral describes it as "partial 16S ribosomal RNA". It matches the Rfam family "Bacterial small subunit ribosomal RNA", at positions 30 to 526 of the family's 1533-position model. The record is from RNAcentral.
AUUGAACGCUAGCGGGAUGCUUUACACAUGCAAGUCGAACGAGUGGCGGACGGGUGUGUAAUGUAUCGGAACGUGCCCAGUGGGGGGGGAUAACUACUCGAAAGAGUGGCUAAUACCCCAUACUAUUGGAGCGACCGAUAUCGGAUUAGCUAGUGGGUGGGGUAAAGGUUCACCAAGGCAAAGAUCCGUAGCUGGUUUGAGAGGAAGACCGGCCACACUGGGACUGGGACACGGCCCAGACUCCUACGGGAGGCAGCAGUGGGGAAUUUUGGACAAGGGGGGAAACCCUGAUCCAGCCAUCCGGCUUGUAUGAGAAGGCCUUCGGGUUUAAAAGUACUUUUGGCAGAGAAGCGGUAUCUGCAGAAUAAGCACCGGCUAACUACGUGCCAGCAGCCGCGGUAAUUC